This 460-nucleotide ribosomal RNA is filed under the name uncultured bacterium. RNAcentral's name for it is "partial 16S ribosomal RNA". It matches the Rfam family "Bacterial small subunit ribosomal RNA", at positions 338 to 795 of the family's 1533-position model. The record is from RNAcentral.
CCUACGUGGUGCAGCAGUGAGGAAUAUUUGUCAAUGGGCGCGAGCCUGAACCAGCCAAGUAGCGUGAAGGAUGACUGCCCUACGGGUUGUAAACUUCUUUUAUAAAGGAAUAAAGUGAGGCACGUGUGCCUUUUUGUAUGUACUUUAUGAAUAAGGAUCGGCUAACUCCGUGCCAGCAGCCGCGGUAAUACGGAGGAUCCGAGCGUUAUCCGGAUUUAUUGGGUUUAAAGGGAGCGUAGAUGGGUUGUUAAGUCAGUUGUGAAAGUUUGCGGCUCAACCGUAAAAUUGCAAUUGAUACUGGCAGUCUUGAGUACAGUUGAGGUAGGCGGAAUUCGUGGUGUAGCGGUGAAAUGCUUAGAUAUCACGAAGAACUCCGAUUGCGAAGGCAGCUUACUAAACUGCCACUGACAUUGAUGCUCGAAAGUGGGGGUAUCAAACAGGAUUAGAUACCCCAGUAGUC